AAAUAUAUUUAUUUAUAUAUAAAUGAUUAUCAAUUCUUUUUUGAUCAAUAAAUUCAUGAUUUUUUUUUCUUUGAUAUAAAAAUAUAAUUUCAUAAAUGCUUUGAGUAAUGUUCUAUUUUCAAUAAUUUCUAGAGCAGUUUUGUCUAGUUUACAUAUAUGUAUCAGUAUAAAUGUGCAUGAGGUAUUCUUUACAAUUACUGGACUCUUAUGAAUUGAUAAAUUAAUAUCUAAAAUCUUCAGCAAAUAUUGAUUUAUGAAAAAGUGCUGAGUAGGUCCAAAGGUGUGUCAGAGGUUGAAAUUCAUCGCAGACUUUCAGUAUAAUACAAGGACAGCACUCCACCAUGUAGAAGUGUGUAUGAGUGGAUCGAGAAGUUUAAAAAUAACCGGAAAACGUGAAGCACAAAGAGGGAGCAGGAUGCCCCUCAACCUUCACCAUUUAUGUGAAGAUUCAACAAGAUCAAGCGAUGGUUAGUUCUGGUGAAUUAAUGAGCGACCAACAAAGAGAGGGUAUGUUCUCUGCAAAUUAGUCAUGGUUCUGCAUAUGAAAUCAUCCGCAAAAAGUUUUGCUUCCAUAAAGUCUGUAUGAGAUGGGUGCCAAGAGAGCUUACAGAAGUGCAUAAGCACAGUUGUGUGGAGAUCUGUUACUGCUUACUCAGCUGCUACAGUGAUGAAAGAAAAGCUUUUUUGGAGAGAACAGUCAUAGGAGAUAAGGCAUGGGUCCAAUAGGUAGAAUUUGGAAAGGAAAACUCAGAAUUGGCAGCAAAAAAGAAAUUCAAGUAAAGUGUACCACAUUUUGGGGGAACACAAGAGAGCCUAUAUUGAAACAUUAACUGGAUAAGGGGUUUAGCCACCAAUGUAGGCUACAGUGAAAUGCUGGCCAACAAACUGAAACCAGCAAUUUGCACCAAACACCAAGGUCUAUUGUCAAAGCAAGUGUUAUUGUUGCACAACAACGCAUGCCCAAAUAUGGCCACCCACACUAUUGAAACCAUUGAGUUUCAAGUUCCUGGAAUGCUCUGCAUAGUCCAGAUCUCAUCCCUUCUGACUAUCAUCUCUUUGGACCACUCAAACAUUCUUUAUGAGGUUGAUGAUCUGCUACAGAUAAAGAGGUGCAGGUAGUAGUACAUAAAUGGUUGUGCAACCUUCAGAAAAACUUUCACUGAUGAAAUGAGUAAACUUGUAGACUGCUGGCAGAGCAUUGAAAAGCAAAGGAACUAUGUUGAAAAAUGAUGUAAAUGUUCACACCCCAGCUUUUGUUUUAACAAAUUACAGAACAAGAGUCUAUGUAACUUUUGACUUAUCCUUGUACAUUU
This 1313-nucleotide long non-coding RNA is filed under the name Octopus vulgaris (common octopus). Lineage: Eukaryota; Metazoa; Mollusca; Cephalopoda; Octopoda; Octopodidae. The record is from RNAcentral.